AUGCUUGCGCCUAUAGUGAAAAUAUAUAGUCAUGUUAAAACAGCGGCGAUUAGCUUUUAAUGUGAUCGUCUCUACCUGUAGCAUGGCACAAA
This 92-nucleotide small nucleolar RNA is filed under the name Drosophila virilis. Its description in RNAcentral is "snoRNA:GJ25413". The record is from RNAcentral. Lineage: Eukaryota; Metazoa; Arthropoda; Insecta; Diptera; Drosophilidae.